AUUUUUUUCUUGCGUACCAAGG
RNAcentral lists this non-coding RNA (22 nucleotides) under Rattus norvegicus (Norway rat). The record is from RNAcentral. Lineage: Eukaryota; Metazoa; Chordata; Mammalia; Rodentia; Muridae.